AUCAUCUGCCAGCUCUCUCCCUUCCUCUCUUAUUUUUCCCCAAAUUGAGGGAGUCAAAUCCCUAAUCAGAAAUCUGCCGCUCCACUCGACUCGCCGGAACGUCGCCGACGGAACCUCUCGACGUCUCCUUAUCGGCGUAUCACUACUCCGGUCGGCGCUCCCUCCGCGCCGUCGAAGCUCGCCUCUUCUUGAAUGAUAGGGACCUCAAUUGGGAAACCCUAGGCAGGUGGAGGACUGGUCGCCAUCUAGUCAGCACCGCGCAGCUGUGGCCUCGGAGUCGUCCCGACACGGUGAAGCAGCCGCCUCGCCGGCUAUCUGGUUGGGCACUGUAGUUUGCUACCACUGCCUCUCGCCCGCCGGGUCAGAUCUGUCUAGCGGCGGCGCUGCUACGAGGCCUCGUCGUCGUCCACGCUCGACAGAACAGAACAUCGCAUCUCCGAGUUUUGGUUUCGGUCGAGAGCUCCAUCACUCGCCGCCGUAGCUAAGUCUCCUAUCUAAAUUGCCACUUACUUUUUAAAGCUUGAGUCUUAUGUUGAAGGGGUUAUUGUUCUGUAAGUUUUAGGACGCUUCGUUUGUGCUAAGUUUCUGUUCAGGGAAAUCCCUCGAUUUGUUGAUGAUUUGAUUUUCUUUUCGAUCUAUGCUCAGCCCUUGUACUAGUUAAACUUGGCAUCGUAUGAUUGUGUCGGAAGUGUUGUGAAUUCGUGGUUGUUUCUACUUAUGUGAACUCGUUCUAUUGCUAUAGAUGGUGUUCUGUGGUGAGCCUCGGCUCUCAGCUAUCUAGUGCUUUAUGCUACAUGAUGAGUUGAUGGAAUUAACAUUGCUUGAGCCUGCCUGAGAGGGAACGAAAUCUUACCUCUCUCCCUUAGCUCAACUUCAGUCCUUCUCACUGCCUCGGUUCCUCUCACUGCCUCGGUCCUUCCCUCUCUUCGCCUCACUAUAGUGCGAUUGCUUGCGAUAAUGAGGGAGGAAGAGGCUGAGGCCUAUUUAUACUUGUUGCCUAACUGAAAGCCUGAGAAAAGGCUGGUGUACUUGGCCUAAAAAGGAGCCUCAGGCUGUGCCAAAAUGUCUGGCUUCUCUGCAGCUCCGCAGGGCAUGUACCCUGGGUCCUUAGGCACAUUUUCUAACUGAUAUUGGUGGCAUAUGGGGGUGUACUCGUGAGUUAUGUGAGCUGCUGGGUUUCUAUCAUAAUCUGUCGUACUUUAACCGUUUUUGGCUUCAUGUGUGGGUCUAGUACUAGGUUCAUUUAUGAAUUUUCCUGUGUGCACACAACAGGUGCACACAGGAGCAGGUAUUGGGUGGCUGAUUUCUGGACCAUGGCAGGCUUAUCUGGCAGAGGUACGAGCUGCUCACUAAUGGAGUGAAAGGCUGGAUGGAAUUGCCUGUUCAGCUCAAGCAAAUUCUCCAUCUUUCAAAAGGACCCAGAGGCUGGCUACACAUGGUUCAUCACCCAACCUUCCAGCCCGUCGAGCCACUCCUGUUCUGGGCCGAGACGGCUCGCGCUGAAGGCCGAGGAAGUUCUCUAGGAACUCUCGGUUGUAUUAGUUCAAUCUGAACUCUCACUCAUUCUUUCCUCUUCUCUUUUUCUUUGUUUCAACACAUGUAUUUUUUCUAUAGUUGUCGGAUUUCAUUUCCUUUAUUUUCACUGUAUGUUCAACGUUUGUAAUUUUAGACUUAGCUCGAUACCAAACGUUGUGUUUUCGUUUACUCAAGAGAUAAUAUAUACUCUUUCAUUCUCAUUCUUUAAA
Salvia splendens (bonfire salvia) is the source of this 1745-nucleotide long non-coding RNA. RefSeq lists it as uncharacterized. The transcript has 2 exons. The record is from RefSeq and is a predicted model, not a curated record. Lineage: Eukaryota; Viridiplantae; Streptophyta; Magnoliopsida; Lamiales; Lamiaceae.